UACAGGGGGGGCAAGCGUUGUUCGGAAUUACUGGGCGUAAAGGGCCAGUAGGCGGCCAACUAAGUCACACGUGAAAUCCCCAGCUUAACCUGGGAACUGCGUGUGAUACUGGAUGGCUUGAAUUCGGGAGAGGGAUGCAGAAUUCCAGGUGAGUAGCGGUGAAAUGCGUAGAGAGUCGGGAGGAACACCAGUGGCGAAGGCGGCUACCUGGACCAGCACUGACACUGAGGCACGAAAGCG
RNAcentral lists this ribosomal RNA (240 nucleotides) under uncultured bacterium. RNAcentral's name for it is "partial 16S ribosomal RNA". It matches the Rfam family "Bacterial small subunit ribosomal RNA", at positions 524 to 761 of the family's 1533-position model. The record is from RNAcentral.